ACUGAGGGGGCGAGGGGAAUCCAGGGAGCUGGGCUUCCCAGACCUUCUCAGCCAGCUUCCAGCUCUAGGCUUCAGAACCAGGCUCUGCCUUCGAUCCCCAGCCCAGCAGUCACAUGGCUUCGUGGGCUGAGGAGGAGGCUGAGCCCUAGGGCCCUGGGCCCCCAGUCCCUGGUUCAGUCCCUUAUCUGACUUCUAUAUUGGGGGUCCAUAUGAAACCCUGUUUGUAAAUAGUUUCUGCUGAUGAAAAAGAAGUUGAAAAACCACUGCUGUUGUUCACCUGUGCCCAUUCCCCUCCCCAGCACCUCCUUGCCUGGGCAAACUCACCUGGCUCCAAGGAGAGCCAACUUCCCAAUGGCCACAGAGGCGCAGCUGGCAAGACUGGGUGAUGUUGGGCCGGGGGAGAUGUCCACAGCGCUCCGGGGGCACCGAGGAGCCACCCCCCCCAAAUUCCUGCCGGCACUGCAGCUGGCGGUGCUGGGUGCCGGGGCCACAGGAGCGGCUGCAGGAUGUCCACUCGCCAGCCUCCCAGCUGCAGGCACCAGCAGGGCAGGGAAGAGGCGGAGACAUAGAUGAGAUGUGUGGGGCUGCCGUGGCAGCAGAGAUGGAAGACACACUGGACGUGGGGGCCUCAGAGGCAGGAGAUGUUGCGUUGAGUGCAGAGUUCAGGACCCAGGGGGAUCCACAGCCCAGUUCCCAUUGAUGAUGGACCGGCCCCCAGGGCCACGAAGUGCUGCGGGUCAGAGACUCCACAGCCAUCAGGACGCCUGCCAGAGCCAAGGAUCCCAUCACAGCCGGGGCUCUGGAGAGAGUGAGUGAGAGCACAAAAACAGCCCCACCAUCCCCAGCCAGACCCAGGGACAUGGACAGGUGCCCGAUCAGAUCCUUCAGGCUCUGCUCAGCGCAGCUUGGCAGCCACCUGACCCCCAGUGAUGGCCUUCCCAGGGGAGUCCGGACAAAGCGUGUCUCCCACACCUCCUCCUCCCACCCCGACCCUUCUGCAGACCACUCACCACCUGUGCUGUCUCCUGACCCAGCCCCAGGGAGAAGAAAGAAGGCAUGGCGCAGGGGAAGCAGAGGGGCUGGAAGUCAUUCAGGGCUGGGAGUAAGCAGUAAGGUUUUACACUCGGGACUCAGCGAAAGGACAGCGUGCUGACUUCUGAGUCAGACUGAUCUGGAUUUGAACCUCAGCUCCAGCUCUUGCCAGCUAUGUGGUCUUCGACGAAUACUUCCACCCCUGUGUGGUGCAGUUUGCUCAUCUGCAAAAUGGGACUAAUCUAAUAUAUAUGAUGGGCUUGGA
Molecule: long non-coding RNA, 1297 nt
Filed under: Homo sapiens (human)
Lineage: Eukaryota; Metazoa; Chordata; Mammalia; Primates; Hominidae
Description: non-protein coding lnc-MCL1-7:1
Source: RNAcentral